CAAAGUGUAGCUAACUUAAAUAAAGCAUCUCCCUUACACUGAGAAGAAGCUUGUGUGAAUCAGGCCGCCUUGA
This 73-nucleotide transfer RNA is filed under the name Maurolicus muelleri (pearlsides). RNAcentral describes it as "tRNA-Val". It matches the Rfam family "tRNA". Rfam says of the family: Transfer RNA (tRNA) molecules are approximately 80 nucleotides in length. Their secondary structure includes four short double-helical elements and three loops (D, anti-codon, and T loops). Lineage: Eukaryota; Metazoa; Chordata; Actinopteri; Stomiiformes; Sternoptychidae. The record is from RNAcentral.